RNAcentral lists this ribosomal RNA (116 nucleotides) under Bacillus cereus. The record is from RNAcentral. Lineage: Bacteria; Bacillati; Bacillota; Bacilli; Caryophanales; Bacillaceae. RNAcentral also lists the same sequence under 5 other names.
UCUGGUAAUGAUGGCAGAGAGGUCACACCCGUUCCCAUAUCGAACACGGAAGUUAAGCUCUCUAGCGCCGAUGGUAGUUGGGACCUUGUCCCUGUGAGAGUAGGACGUUGCCAGGC